Molecule: ribosomal RNA, 253 nt
Filed under: uncultured bacterium
Lineage: Bacteria
Description: partial 16S ribosomal RNA
Rfam family: Bacterial small subunit ribosomal RNA
Source: RNAcentral
UACGGGGGGGGCAAGCGUUGUCCGGAAUUACUGGGCGUAAAGGGCUCGUAGGCGGCCAACUAAGUCAGACGUGAAAUCCCUCGGCUUAACCGGGGAACUGCAGCUGAUACUGGAUGGCUUGAGUUCGGGAGAGGGAUGUGGAAUUCCAGGUGUAGCGGUGAAAUGCGUAGAUAUCUGGAGGAACACCGGUGGCGAAGGCGGCAUCCUGGACCGACACUGACGCUGAGGAGCGAAAGCCAGGGGAGCAAACGGG